This is a long non-coding RNA of Daphnia carinata, 397 nucleotides long. RefSeq lists it as uncharacterized. The record is from RefSeq and is a predicted model, not a curated record. The transcript is spliced from 3 exons. NCBI's taxonomy places the organism in Eukaryota, Metazoa, Arthropoda, Branchiopoda, Diplostraca, Daphniidae.
GAAAAGAACAAAUUGGAACGGAACAGUUUCCAAACAGUGAAGGAGGUUUUUCCAAACUCAUCCCUAACUGAACAUGAGGAUGAAUUGGCAUUAGGCAAACACAGUCAGUUAUUCAGUCCACCACCUGACUGUGUUCAAUUCUAAUUCUGUUAGUGCUGCACUAAAAGUAUCAUUAGUAAUAAGUCCAUGCAGCGAAGGAACUGAACUAUUGUGGGACCGUAUUUGGGAUGAAAAUGGGUGUGGUACACAAUGCCGGAAAUGGCACAAGUUGAACAUGAAACAUGGAUUAGAAUUUUAGUGGGGGAUGAAGUCAAGUCUGGAAGUGUUACAGGAUGGAAGAGUCAGCCUAUAGUUGAAUGAAAAAACACUGAGAGUGCAUUACCAUUAAGGUAUGAGG